This 433-nucleotide ribosomal RNA is filed under the name uncultured bacterium. Its description in RNAcentral is "partial 16S ribosomal RNA". It matches the Rfam family "Bacterial small subunit ribosomal RNA", at positions 29 to 507 of the family's 1533-position model. The record is from RNAcentral.
AACGAACGCUGGCGGCAUGCCUAACACAUGCAAGUCGAACGAGACCUUCGGGUCUAGUGGCGCACGGGUGCGUAACGCGUGGGAACCUGCCUUUAGGUUCGGAAUAACUCAGAGAAAUUUGAGCUAAUACCGGAUGAUGUCUUCGGACCAAAGAUUUAUCGCCUUUAGAUGGGCCCGCGUUGGAUUAGCUAGUUGGUGGUGUAAAGGCCUACCAAGGCGACGAUCCAUAGCUGGUCUGAGAGGAUGAUCAGCCACACUGGGACUGAGACACGGCCCAGACUCCGACGGGAGGCAGCAGUGGGGAAUAUUGGACAAGGGGCGAAAGCCUGAUACAGCAAUGCCGCGUGAGUGAUGAAGGCCUUAGGGUUGUAAAGCUCUUUUACACGAGAUGAUAAUGACAGUAUCGGGAGAAUAAGCUCCGGCUAACUCCGUG